RNAcentral lists this transfer RNA (95 nucleotides) under Streptomyces clavifer. Its description in RNAcentral is "tRNA-Pro". The record is from RNAcentral. Lineage: Bacteria; Bacillati; Actinomycetota; Actinomycetes; Kitasatosporales; Streptomycetaceae. RNAcentral also lists the same sequence under 1 other name.
GGGACCGUGCCGGAGGCCACGUCGAACGGGAGCUUCGGGAGCUCCUCCGAGUAGUAGCCGACCGCGCGGUAGACGCUCUGUACGUCCCAGUCCGU